AAAUGAAUUGACGGGGACCCGCACAAGCAGCGGAGCAUGUGGUUUAAUUCGAAGCAACGCGAAAAACCUUACCAAGACUUGACAUCGUAUGACCGCUAUAGAAAUAUGGAAUUCUCUUCGGAGACAUAUAGACAGGUGGUGCAUGGUUGUCGUCAGCUCGUGUCGUGAGAUGUUGGGUUAAGUCCCGCAACGAGCGCAACCCCUGUGAAUAGUUGCCAAUAUUAAGUUAGGAACUCUAUUCAGACUGCCGUGGAUAACACGGAGGAAGGUGGGGAUGACGUCAAAUCAUCAUGCCCCUUACGUCUUGGGCUACACACGUGCUACAAUGGCUAUUACAAAGAGCUGCAAGUCGGUAACGAUGAGCGAAUCUCACAAAAAUAGUCUCAGUUCGGACUGUGGGCUGCAACCCGCCCACACGAAGUCGGAGUUGCUAGUAAUCCCGAAUCAGCAUGUCGGGGUGAAUGCGUUCCCGGGUCUUGUACACACCGCCCGU
Molecule: ribosomal RNA, 493 nt
Filed under: uncultured bacterium
Lineage: Bacteria
Description: bacterial SSU rRNA
Rfam family: Bacterial small subunit ribosomal RNA
Source: RNAcentral